This is a non-coding RNA of Anas platyrhynchos (mallard), 522 nucleotides long. The record is from RefSeq and is a predicted model, not a curated record. Lineage: Eukaryota; Metazoa; Chordata; Aves; Anseriformes; Anatidae.
UUAUUUGGGACAUUUGCAAAACAACUAGUAUCCUGAAAGAGGAACGCAUUGAGGAGUGCAAUCUCUAGGAUGCAUCCUAUAGGACACACCUGACAAAGAGACAGAGCUGAAUUAAUGAGUAGUAACGCUGUUCUUGAACAUUUGAUUUAGCUUAUGUUUUCUAGCCUUCCUUUCAAAAGGGUGAAUUUUGCUUGCCAUUCUUCCUCCAUGAACUCAUUCAUGGAAGCACGCAUUCUUGAAAAGACUCUCGUCUCCUUGUCUUCAGAUUGAGUGCUGUCCAAAAAGAUACAGAAACAAAGCAGAUGAUAAGAAGCAAAUAUGACUGCAGAGAAAAUAAAUUGGAGAGAACAAAAGGCUGCCAUUUGUAUGCCAUUAAUACUCACCAUGGCAGUGAACUGAGGAUUGUUGUGGCUAUUGGGAGCAAACUACUUCUUAUCACAAAGAAAUACAAUCCAUGCAACAGUUUAGCCAGCAGCUCUCUGCUGUCAUUACCUGAAUCUCCAGUAGACGAGUUCCAGUACA